AACCUAGCACACCUGCGGUGUGUACCUGCGGAGGGAUCAUUAGAGAAUUAUUGACUCAGGGGUUCUUCCCCUGUGUCAACUCACUCUAUUUCACCCCCUUGUGAACUGUCGAUCGGUCGAGUGUGUUCUGCAUUCUUGGUCGAGGGUGUCGCAAUUCGAUUUUGAUUUGCCACCCGAAUCACUUUUUGAAAACCUUAGUGUGUUGAAUGGUGCGCCACAUGGCGAUUUGAAACACAAUAC
RNAcentral lists this unclassified non-coding RNA (240 nucleotides) under soil metagenome. RNAcentral describes it as "partial contains 5.8S ribosomal RNA, internal transcribed spacer 2, and large subunit ribosomal RNA". The record is from RNAcentral.